Molecule: unclassified non-coding RNA, 670 nt
Filed under: Planktothrix sp. VUW25
Lineage: Bacteria; Bacillati; Cyanobacteriota; Cyanophyceae; Oscillatoriales; Microcoleaceae
Description: partial 16S-23S ribosomal RNA intergenic spacer ITS1-L
Rfam family: Bacterial small subunit ribosomal RNA (bases 1-155)
Source: RNAcentral
UUGUACACACCGCCCGUCACACCAUGGAAGUGAGCCACGCCCGAAGUCAUUACUCUAACCCGUAAGGGGGGAGGGUGCCGAAGGCGGGGUUGAUGACUGGGGUGAAGUCGUAACAAGGUAGCCGUACCGGAAGGUGUGGCUGGAUCACCUCCUUUUAGGGAGACCUACUUUUGAGUUGAGUGUUGAAUCCAACAAAUAUAGCACCCUCAAAAGUCAUCCCAGGUCGUACUAGGAAAAAAGAGACUUUCAAACGUAUUUUAAAGUUCGGAAAAAGGGCUAUUAGCUCAGGUGGUUAGAGCGCACCCCUGAUAAGGGUGAGGUCCCUGGUUCAAGUCCAGGAUGGCCCACCUAAACCAAUGUGGGGGUAUAGCUCAGUUGGUAGAGCGCUGCCUUUGCAAGGCAGAUGUCAGCGGUUCGAGUCCGCUUACCUCCACUGAAAAUAUUCCUAGAACAAAUCAGCACUACAGCUUUCCGACAAGAAAGAGUAAAUGCUGGGAAAAGUUCCAGCCAGAACCUUGAAAACUGCAUAGAAGAAUCAAAAGGGAUCAAAUUAAUGAAACCAGAACCGGGAAUAAGAAACCCGGAAAAGUUCUGGUGUUCAGGAGUUCGGAAACGAACAGAAAAUCUCUGAAAAAGAGAAAGUGGUCAAGAUAGAAAGGGCUGACGGUGG